AACCUGGCGGCAGGCUUACACAUGCUCUUCGAGCGCCCCGCAAGGGGAGCGGCAGACCGGUGAGUAACGCGUGGGAAUCUACCUUUUGCUACGGAAUAACGCAGGGAAACUUGUGCUAAUACCGUAUGUGUCCUUCGGGAGAAAGAUUUAUCGGCAAGAGAUGAGCCCGCGUUGGAUUAGCUAGUUGGUGGGGUAAAGGCCUACCAAGGCGACGAUCCAUAGCUGGUCUGAGAGGAUGAUCAGCCACAUUGGGACUGAGACACGGCCCAAACUCCUACGGGAGGCAGCAGUGGGGAAUAUUGGACAAUGGGCGCAAGCCUGAUCCAGCCAUGCCGCGUGAGUGAUGAAGGCCCUAGGGUUGUAAAGCUCUUUCACCGGAGAAAAUAAUGACGGUAUCCGGAGAAGAAGCCCCGGCUAACUUCGUGCCAGCAGCCGCGGUAAUACGAAGGGGGCUAGCGUUGUUCGGAAUUACUGGGCGUAAAGCGCACGUAGGCGGAUCGAUCAGUCAGGGGUGAAAUCCCAGGGCUCAACCCUGGAACUGCCUUUGAUACUGUCCAUCUGGAGUAUGGAAGAGGUGAGUGGAAUUCCGAGUGCACAGGUGAAAUUCAUAAAUAUUCGGAAGAC
RNAcentral lists this ribosomal RNA (624 nucleotides) under Rhizobium sp. Bac33C. Its description in RNAcentral is "bacterial SSU rRNA". It matches the Rfam family "Bacterial small subunit ribosomal RNA", at positions 32 to 706 of the family's 1533-position model. Lineage: Bacteria; Pseudomonadati; Pseudomonadota; Alphaproteobacteria; Hyphomicrobiales; Rhizobiaceae. The record is from RNAcentral.